This is a long non-coding RNA of Odocoileus virginianus texanus, 430 nucleotides long. RefSeq lists it as uncharacterized. The record is from RefSeq and is a predicted model, not a curated record. Lineage: Eukaryota; Metazoa; Chordata; Mammalia; Artiodactyla; Cervidae.
CUCUCGGAGGGCGGGGCUUUUCUGUCCGUAAUUAAAUUAGCUGGGGACGGGAGUCGUGGGCGCCUGUGCGAGAUGAGGCGCGAAAGGGGGUCGCUGUUUAUGGGCGAACUUGCUUUUAUAUCGCCCUCUGCUGAAAAGAGAAGCCACGGAGCUAGCAUCCCCAUUGACGGUUGUAUUUCCUGCCUAUUCCUCGCCGUAAGCAAGACAAACAGAACAUACAAAUAAACUACACAAAAGAAAGGUAUGGACUCUGAGCUUUUAAUUUAGAAAUACUGAGCCCUGUCUGAAUACAACAGAAAUUGGAACAAACUAAAGCUGGGAUUUCCCAAUGAUUUUAUUGAGGGACUAACCAAGUGAUGAUGCCUGUUGGAACUGCCGAGACUACCCAAUAACCUCCUCCAUGAAGAACUGGAAAACUAAAGCUGCCAUC